Molecule: ribosomal RNA, 253 nt
Filed under: uncultured bacterium
Lineage: Bacteria
Description: partial 16S ribosomal RNA
Rfam family: Bacterial small subunit ribosomal RNA
Source: RNAcentral
GACGAACCGUGCGAACGUUGUUCGGAAUCACUGGGCUUAAAGGGCGCGUAGGCGGACACGCAAGUCGGUGGUGAAAUCCCCCGGCUCAACCGGGGAAUUGCGCCUGAUACUGGCGGGCUAGAGAUCGUUAGGGGUGAGCGGAACUCCAGGUGGAGCGGUGAAAUGCGUAGAUAUCUGGAGGAACACCGGUGGCGAAAGCGGCUCACUGGAUCGAAACUGACGCUGAGGUGCGAAAGCUAGGGUAGCAAACGGG